ACUAUUUAUUCUCUUAUUACGAAAAUAUAAAUUAAGCAAACUCAUGCCAACAGACUGAGAAAAACACAUAAAUGAAAUAUAUAGAAUCCCGUCAACUAGAACCUGAAGCAGCUAUUCCAACGACGUGGCUGUUUUGAUUCAUUGAUCCUUGCCUCCGGUUUCGGCUUCUCAGAGGCCACGGGUUUGAAACCCUGCACACCAAUAUGUAUAUAUAAAUAUUGCUGAAAGCUGUAUUAUAUAUAACUACCUCCUUCCCAAAGAAAAAUGGCUUAGUUUAACUUUUCUUGCAAAAUUGGUAAUUUUAGAAUUCAGAAUUAAGCAUAUUUAUUCAUAUUUUUAUACUUCUAAAAUUGGAGAUAAUAGAGAAUUCGAUAUAAUUUCUUAUAAUUAUAGUUUCUCUACGUCUAUUUAUAAGAAAAUAAUAUAAAUUUUGAUUACAAAUUAAAAUAGUUAAUUUUUUUUUAAAAAAGUUAAACUAAGCAAGCUUUGGUGAGACCGAGGGAGUGUAUAAAUGAUUUCCUCCAUGUAGAACUCGAGUUCCUUUUACGAAUUUGUUGGAUUAAUUAAACUAAAUCUAAGUUUCAUAUUUUAUUAUUUUCUUGUGAAAAUAAAUUCGAAAAUGUUGUUUCUAGAGCAAGUGGUCUAAAAUUUCUUUAAAAUGUAUCGUCCAAACAAGUAUAAAUUUUACCAAGUGAAAACAGAGUUUAUAUCAUUUGUUGUGAAUUACAAACCUAUAUAUACCAUAUUUUAUUAUCUUAAAGGGAGAAUCACUAUGGUUGAGUAGGAGCAAAUCAAAAAAUUGACAAAUAGAAUUAUUUAAUUUGAUUCGUUCUCAGUAGUUAUGAGAUGAUCCUUUUAAGGUAAUUCUUUUGUCGACGGAUAUUCCUAUUAUACUCGUAAUUUUUGAAGGAUGAUAACCAGCUAUAUAGUAUCUUCACCAAAAAUUCAAGUAUUGUAUAUGUGCAUGGUUACUCCGAUCUCAUUGUGUAGUUUUGAACUUAUGUGUGUUUUUAGUUUUUUGUGGUUUUUUUAGUAUUAGUUAUUAUGGUUUUGAAAAAAAAAAGGUUUAGUGAAUUAUGCGGUAAAAUGUGUUGGGAAACCUCCUCUAAUUAUAAUUAUUUUUGAUAAAUUAAAUAACAAAUCACGUCAAAUAAAUAAUUCAAUUUUACCAAAUAAAUUAUAAUCGCAAAAAUAAUAUAACGAAAAAAUAAAUUAAACACAAGACACCAAAUUUUAUGUGGAAAACCUUUUAAAACUAAAACGUUAAAAUUACGGGCCGAACUCCGAAAAAAUUUCACUAUAAUCAAGUGCGAGUAUAAAUAGUUUUUCCACGUUUUAUAAUUAAAAACUUAAAAUAUUAUGAAAUUUAGAUAAUAUAAAAAUAUUUUAAUAUCACUCAAAUUACCCCACUAGUCGGAACCUUCGAAUUAAUUAAAGUCUUACAAGCUACAGCUGCUAAUCAAUCCGAAUAGAUGAUGAACAAGACAAACAUUCUUUUCAAACAAAUUAUAGAACCCUCAAUUUCUCUCAUCAAAACUGAUGCUAUAUUAUCUCACAAACUGAUUAUAUAGAACUCACUAUUGGAUUCCUUAUACUUUCUUAUUCAGUGAGUUCACGCCACAUAUACCAUAUAUAUACUCCGAAAUCCUGAUUUGCUUUUGAAAAUCAUAAUGCAUAUAGCAUAUCCUGUCUCCUAAACUGAUUCGGAAUUCCCCAAGAAAAACAACAUAUUGGUUUCCUGCCUAAAAUAGUAUUACGCCCACAGUUUUUAUUCCAAUCACAAAUUCUGUGUUAUACUCUCCAAUUCUUUUCUAAUUUGACUUUUGCCCAUAAGCCUCUUGGGUUUGGAUUAAUAUGUCCAACAAUCUCCCCUUUUGAUCCACGAGCGGAGAGUAUUUUUUAUUGUGACAUCAUCACUUAGAGUCCAUCUCGAUUAACACCUUACAAAACUCCAGCUUAUCACGAGUUAUAACAUUUGUCAACAUGUCUUAGGAUUUCUCAUCGAUAUGAACUUUAUUCACUUUCAUCAAUUCCUUUUGCAUCAUUUUUUGAAGUUAGUGAUAACGAACAUCAAUGUGCUUGGUACAAUUAUGAUAAGUGACGUUCUUAGUCAAGUCAAUUGCACUUUGACUAUCACAAUAAAUCACGUAUUCAUCCUGUGUCAAACCCAACUCUUAGAAAAGUCGUUUUAACAAUAACAUCUCAUUGUCUGCUUCCGUAACGGCAAUGAAUUCCUACUUAGUUGUAGAAAAAACAACACACUUCUACAAUUUGGACUGUCAUGAUAGAGCUCUCCUGCAAAAAUAAACAAAUACACCGAAUUAGACUUCUUCUCUUCAGAACUUGCUAUGUCUGCAUUUGUAAGACCCUUCAAGACUGGGCGCGAUCCACCAAAACCCAAACACAAACUGGAAGUAGCUUUCAAGUAUCUAAGAAUCCACUUAACUGCUUCUCAAUGUUCUCUAUCGAGAUUUGACAAAUACAUGCUCGCAAUGCCAACUGAAUGCCCAAUAUUUGGCCGUGUGCAAACCACUACAUACAUAAGACUCCUUACAGUUGAGUUGUAGGGAACUGCUGUCAUAUCAUCUCUCCCUUCCUUAGUAGAAGAACACAUACGCUUUGUUAACUUAAUAUGACUGACCAGUGGUGUGCUAACUGGUUUAACACCACCACUAGUUCAAAACAGUAAAUAGACAACACUUAAACAACAACAUUUUUAUAAAAAAACGUUGUGGUAUUUUUUUUCACAACGUUUUUUAACAAAAAGUUGUAGAUACAUAUGAAAAAACGUUAUCUAUUUAUAAGGGAAAUUUUUGGUUUUAAAUAGAUAACGUUUUUUUAAAAAAAACGUUAUCUAUGUCAAAAACACGGAGCUUAAAAUAAAUCGCGCGGAAGUGAAAACUUGAAAUUAAAAACCCUCCCCUUGCCUCCCAGCCUUCCAACAACUGAAGCAGCUCUCCCAAAUCCCAAUCUACACCCUUGUUCACGCCAGGGAUUACGAUAAUCGGACUCCGCUUCAUGUUGCUUCGCUUCACGGUAACCACCCUCUGUUCUAUUAUUAAUAAUUGAUGUAGUAAUUGAUAAAUAAAAACACUUUUCUAAUUCUCUCUCUCUCCUCUCUCUGGCUAGGGUUUGUGACUUUGUAGCGAGAGGGAACAAUGAUACAACUAUUGUUCAUGUUGAUUUUUACCGAAAUGGCGGGGAUUCUGCUACUGUUAUUUAGAACCCCUCUACGAAAGCUUCUGAUUAUUGGUUUAGAUCGCAUUAAACGGGGAAGGGCACCGCUCGUCGUCAAAUCUGUCGCCGCCACCGUCUUCGUCAUCAUGAUGUACACCGUUUACACCAUUAGAGAAAUCCAGACCCGUCCGAUGGAAGCCCUUAACCCUACUGAUCACGUCCUCUUGGCUAAUUAAAUACUCGAUGUAACGCCCUGAAAUCCGGUCUAUUUUCACAUCUGGAUUUCAUACGUCACGAUCCCAUCUUCUUCCAAACAUACAUCAUUAUAUACUGAAAUAUAACAAUAUACAUUCUAAAUUCACAGGUUCUAAAACCUUAUAACUCCUUUCAUUACAAAUAAUGAUAAUUACAUUAUCAUUUACAUCUUACACGAGUGACUUUCAUCCGCCAAUAAGGAUACAUAACAGUUCAUUAAACUAAUCUAAAGCUCAUUUAACUUAUUUUAUAUUACAAGUCUUCGCUCGAUCUUCUCGCUCAUCCACAUUCUGAAUGGCACUUCAUCUGGAUACCGUCAACUUGAUCUUUAUGGGAUCCUUAAGUUCUUCUAACAUCGUACGCUAAAAAUGUUUUUUAUUUAAAGCAAGUGUGAGCAUUCAAUUGCUCAGCAAGUCAUAGUAGUUGAACAAACAACUUCAAGAGUUUAAACGUUCCUUUAGAACUUCGAUAACAGAACAAAGGUUAUGAAGCAACUUGAAUAAUAGGAAUAAUCUCGAUUCAUAUCAUUUUAAAACAAUAUUCACUUUCAUUUUAAAAUACUUUCAGUCUUCUACCUUUUUCGUACACGUUCUGUCUGGCUAGAAUCAUUAGCACAGACUUAACAAUAACGAAUCAUGUAUAAACAGAGCAUUCUCUUAUUGAACAGUUAAAUCACAGAAUAGUUCAUCACAUAAAAACACCGAAGUGUUCACAUUGUGGCACAAGUCCUCAUAUGUUCUACCACCUUGCACAAAUAUCGUACAUUAACACAUAGACGGAACUUCUCAAGUUCAACAUCUGAAAAAUUUAAGAAACUAGCAUUCAUUUAAAAUAUGAAUGAAGUUAGGAAACUUUCCUUACGCACCAGCUACAGCUUACGCUGAACUGCUCAUUCCAGUUCCUAUGUAGCACAUAAGAAAAACAACACAUACACUAAUUAGUCAUGUAUUUUUGACUUAUGCAUUAGUUUACUUAACUUUACUUCUUAGGGUUCGCAUUCUUGCAACCAAAGUUUACGCGACCACUUUCAUUACCGUUCUAUGGCUUCAUGACAUAUGGAGAUGUCUUACUUAUACGUUCAUCAUCUUUGAUGUUUUACAUUCUUAUCUUCUUUUUAUAACUUCUCUAGGACUCAGCACACAUCGCUUCUCUAGUAGUAGUCCAUAUGGUACUCUGAGUGGUUUUCCAAAAAUAACCACCAAACAAGUUCCCGUCUCGUCUUCACUUGUUUAAGUGUUAUAUUAGUUGAACAUUAUGUUCUUUAUCGUCCCGUACGUUUCCCCAAAGAGUUGAGCAGUUAAAAGCUCUUCUCUGGCUUUUUCCCUACACUAGUGCUGCGGCGCCACUCUCUUCUUUCUCUCGCGCCGCGGCGCGAGUUUGCAGUACCCGGCUUCCUGGCCUGGCGCUGCAGCGCCACCUUACAAGGCAUGGUUGGCGCCGCGGCGCCAAGCCCUAACCCUAGAAAAUUUCUUUUAAGUGUUAAAUCUAAUUUGAGACGCUUACUUCCCGCUUCCAUAACUUAUUCGUUAUAACUCAGAACGAGGUCGUUCCAAAGCCAUUCUCUUCCUUAUCUUAUAUACUUCAAUACCCCUCAGAUAGAACUUCGUUCUGAAUUUGUUAAUGUGCCAUUCAAUUGGCUUGAUCUUCUCCCUUCAUUCAUUUUACAUUUUUAACGCUCUUCGUUCGUUCUUCCGUAAUUCGGUCAUCCAAACUCAGAAUUCGUUCGUUCUUGAGUCCAUAACUCACGUUUUCUAUGUUCUCUUACAUUCUUAUGAAACCCUACACGUUCGGGUUCAUUUACUAACUUUCUAAUUCCCGUUUGUCUUUUACGAAAUUUUUGUCAUAACUUCGUUAUAGCUAAGUUUUAAUCCGUUCUUCAUGAACGUUUCUAUCGUUCCUAACCAAGCAAUAUUCACCUAACUUAUACACGAUGGUUUUAAACUUUUCCAUCAACAACAAUUAUCCUACGAUGGUUUUAAAUUUGUCCAUCAACAACGUUCUUCGUGUUCUUCGCAUGUUCUUCGUUCGUUCUUCAUUUUUAAUCGAUAUUUUGGAUUACGAUUUCACUUUUUAUUGGAAUUUGAUGUUAUAAAAUAUCAUUCCUUACUUAUUUCACCUACUUAUUUAUAUAAUCCACUCGGAUCGUUCUAAUUCAUUACGAAUCUUAUACUUCCUUAAGAAAUUUAUUUACUAAACUUUAAAUUCUUAUUUUCAUUAUUUCUCAUGAUUUCAACUAUAUGAAAUCAUUCAUAACCUCAUCUACUUCUUGUUCUCAUUAAUUUAUGUUUUAAACAUAUAGGACUUAAAGAGAAUUUAAAUUCGACUAGGUUUUAGGUUACCUCUCUUCUUUAUUUUUCUUCCGCUAAACAAAGCCGGCGAUUUGCAAGCUUUUUUAUUUCACGAUCACCUUCGAUCCGAUCAUUCAUGCUCAUGCUCUUCCUUCGCCCCCUUCAUCUGAACCCUCUCUCUCUAGUUUGUAGGAUUUUCAAAAUCCCAUUUAAAUGAAUUAAGCUUACUAUUUAUAGAAAACCAAGGCUAGGGGUAUUUUAGUCAUCUCGCCACCCAACCUCCUUACUAUUCACACCUCCUUACUAUUCAUGACUUAGGUGUUAAGUUAACGUAGCCCUUAAAUCUACUUAGCCUUUAAGUUUCGUGGUUCCAUCUUUCGGGUUUUCGUCCGACAGUUUUAAAAACUGCGAUUCUCGGAAUCCAAAUAUUUUUGGAUAUUUCGUCUUUCCUUUACCGAUUAAAUUUACGUAUUCUUCAGAUUUCUGAAAAACUGAAAAACACUUUUUGGUGUUAAGUGUUUUCCUUCACGUUUUCCCCUAACGUAGCUAAACGAAUGAAAAGUACAUAACAGUACUUUUUCGUCAUUUUUAUUUCGUCCGAUUUCUGCAUGUUUUUCGAGAAAAACUUUUAUCGGCUUACUUAACAUUUCAAGAUAUAUUAUCGUCAAAUCUUUCAACGGAAUGUCAUUUCGACAUACCGAACUCUCAAAACGGCUUAGGUUAUUCAAACCCUAACCCUUAGGUUUCGUCGGGUGAACAGUGUCUAUUUCGUCUUUUUCCCUAGAAAUAUUUUUGUUCCCGAAAAAUUUUUAUUUUUGUCUUGAAAAUUAUUACUCGUUCAGUCUAGCUCGUAGCCAGAAUCCUCCCGACUUAUAAUCAUCCUAGGUUCUAGAAUGAUUAAUAAACACAUAGCACAUAAUAUUAUUAAUAAAAUUUAUUUUAUUAAUAACUAAUUCUUUAAAUUUAAAUUCUGGAAAAUUCGAAUUUUCGGGUUGUUACACUCGAAGCCCCUCUCAUGGGUACAAUUCAACAAUAUUUCAUCUUCGCCUAUAUACACCUAAAAGUUUUACUUGAUCUUUAAUUGGAGGCGAUUUAAGUUCAAAAUUGUGAUAUACGAUAUAUUUUGCUUAAAGUUAGUUUUUUCAUUGUUAAUGUCUGUUUUAUUGCUUAAUUUUAUAUGGCUCUAGUCUGUUUCAUUCUUUUAUUGUUUGAAGUUAGUUUUUUCAUUGUUAAUGUCCGUUUUAUUACUUAAUUUUAUAUGGCUCCACUUCAUUCUUUAUAAUUUAAACUAAAAAAAUACAUACCUAAUUUUGGAACGAAUUUAAAAAAUAUAUAUAUAUUAUCUUAAUUUUAAAAUGACGGGAGUAAUCAAAAUAUUAAGUCGCCCUAUUUGUGGAAUACUAGUAAUUACUGAUUAAGUUAAAAAACAAUCUAGUAAUGUGAACUUGGGAACAUAACUACUAAGUAGCCCUCCCUGGCAAAACACAAAAAUAUAUUUAUAAUUCUAUUUUCCUUGAACAUUGAAGUGAACAUAUAAUGUUCCAUAACUUGAGUUGGAUUCUGUAUGCAUGCACCUGUUGUUAAUUUUUAGUUUGGACCCAAGAAACGAUGGAACAUUAUAUGGUGCAUCUUCAAAUGGAACCAUCAGUUGCACUAACUUGGAGACAUGAAUUUCAUCAAUGAGGUAAUGCUUAUUGUUUUUACUGCCAUUUUAGGUACUUAAGCAGCUCAAUAUGCCUUCUGAAAUGCAAGUCUCACUUACAGAUGAAAAAAGAGAUAUUGAACCUCUUAAGUGGUUGCCCUCUUCCUUCCAUCUUCUAAAGGAUUUAUAUUUUCCCGUUUGCAAUCUAUCUUGAUUUUGGCCUAAUUCCUACAAAUGAUUGGAGAGCCGAUAGCUAUUACUGAUGCUUAAUUGUCAAAGUCAAGUUCCUAUAGCAGUUUUUGUCUUCUUGAUCUUGUAAUUAAGUACUUGAUCUUGUUGUGCUAUAUAAGUUAUAUUUCAUUGUUCAACAGAAUUGAGGACUUUUAUGAUAUGCAUCUAAAUUAUAGGCAUCUUGUUACCAUUUGUUCUCCCAUUCACACUAAUUGGUUAUCUUGGAAGUGCAUAAUCUUGUUAAAGCUUAUAAUAGAAACUAGAUCUUUUAGAAUUUGUUAUUUAUACAUGUCAAUAUAUAUAUAUAUAUAUAUAUAUAUAUAUAUAUAUAUAUAUAUAUAUAAAUUUCUGGAUUCUAUGCUUGUAAUCAUUCUAUAUUUUUGAUGAAGUUCCUUAAUUCUUGCUAAAAUAUAGAAUAAUUAGUUGAAAAUGAUGAAAAAUCUUACCAUUAUAUCUCUCUGCUGUCCUUCAAAGAUCAUUUGAUGUUUUAGAGAUCUUCUUUUUAAUUCUUCAUCAGGUACAUAGUUUUUAGAAAAGCUUCGCUCUUUCUCAAGUGUGACAUUUCUGUCUUCGAUCUUCAUUCGAAACAAAAACAAAAAAGAAAGGUCAGAGAAUUUCAAUGGCUUUAUGUGCUUUGGGUGCUACACAUUCAUAUCAAUUGCAUGCACUUUAUUUCUUUUUUCCCUUAAAUCCAUUUUAGAGACAUCUUAUCCCAGUUUGAUACAUUCUUUGGAUCAAGUGGCAUUAAGGGAACCCUUAUUCAAUUAAUAAAUGUUUUAAACUUGAUGAUUUUUACCAAUUUAUUUAAUUAUAUAUCUGAGUAUGACAAAAAUACUUGAAAAUCAGUAGUUAAGGAGUUGGCAUCAUGGACACACUUUGAUAUAUUUGCUGCAUGACUUCACAUGAUUCACUGCUAAAAUCGCGUGUGAAUGGUGUAGGUGAUGGUUGUGACAACUCAUGAAGGAGUUCCGCAGGAAUUUUAUGGAGCGAAAUUGAUUGGAUCAUGCAGGUUGUAAUCAAUUUGUGAGAAAGUUUCUGUUGUUAUGAUCUUCUGAUUCUAACUCCAUAUUGCUUUAGAUUUCUAAAGAUAAACUUGCAUAAGGUAUUUUGAGACUCAUAUCUUAACAAAUCUUGUACGUUAUUCUAAGAGCCCUGCAUUAACUUUAUUGAUUUUUGCAUAUCAUUAAUAAACUGUGGUAGCUGCAAAGUGAUUCACUCUUCAGUAGAAAUCUUAAUCUUACUUAUCAAUAAAAUUUACUAAUUUUCCUAUAAAGAGUUUAAAGUGUUAGGCUUGUUCAUGCUCCAUCCAAAGAUUGGGAUUAUUAAAGCUUAUGGAUUAUGGAGCCUCGUAGUGGUCAAUAUCUAGAUGUUUCUCGCUAAUGGUUCUCAAUUCUGUUUUGUAGCUUCCCCUGUCCAUGGUACCAAAAGGUACCACUUUCCCUAGCACUCAGCCCUAGGAUAAUAUCAGUGGUUUCUUAAUUUAAGCUUGAUAAAUACAUGCAUCAUCCCCUGGUAUUAUGGUAAAUUUAUGUCCUCUUUUAUGUGUUUUGCUUGAUUGAGCAUUGGGAGUGUUUUCUUGUUUUGUUGCAUCAUUGAGAAUUUCUGGCUUUACAAUAGGUAAUCGGUGCUCUCAUUAUUGUAAAACUAUUGUGUGUUCCUAUAGUAAUGUCCUAUCAUACACAUGUCCCAGUGUAAGUAUUGCUGCUAGUUGAUUUUCUUGUUAAGGUCUUGAUUGCAAAACAUUUAACUAGCUUCUUAAUAUAGCAUGAUUAAAAAUCAACACAUUUAUAUAAAUCAUUGCAAUAUAUGUACUAUACGGUCUUCGGGAUGUCAUUCCUAAGAUAUGUCCAAUUAGUAUUUUGGGUCGAGUCUAAUUCCUGUUUUCAUCUUUAGCUACAUACCAAGAUACACCUUUAGUUGGCUAGUCAAACCUAUGUGGUGGGUCAUAAGUACGUGAGCUUUCCUUUCUUGUUCAAAUCCAACAUGGCUCAAAAUGUAUAUUACAUUCUCUAACAUAUAAGGGUUUUUCAUAUUUCAUCAAAAUUUCUACACAGAGCAGCUGAUCUUACAUUGGUGCCAUCAGCUGUCAUUGCAAAGGAUCUUCAGGCAGCAAGGGUGACAGCAGGUGAAAUAUCUUGUUCCUAUUUUUUUAUAAGCAAAUUACUCUAGACAACUGACACAAUUUACUAGAUAAGUAGAUAUCAACAUUCAACUUUCAUACUUUUGCCUCAUAUUCAUUUUUCUUCAUGUUAUAAUUCUCAUAGACAUUAAGCUUACUCAACAUUUUACUUCCACUAGACCUGUCAUGAAAAUGUUGAUUAAAGAACUCACAUUCGUGUUAUACAGCAACAUCACAAAUGAAUUGUUAUUAUUCCUUUGCAUAUUUUCAGGUAACAAAAUACAACUCUGGAAUAAGGGUGUUGAUUCUGAAAGCUUUAAUCCCCGUUAUCAUUCUCAUGAAAUGCGAUUAAGAUUAAGGUAAGAUCUCCUGCUUCUUCAGUUUCAUCACCAUAUUUUUGACUCUUCUUUAAAUUUUAAAGUCUUUAUUCCCAAAUCAGCAAUGGUGAACCUGAGAGGCCGUUGAUUGUUCAUGUUGGGCGGCUAGGAGUUGAGAAGAGUUUGGAUUUUCUCAAAAGGUAUUACUUUUAUAAUGGAGAAAUUACCUGUGUGCAUAUAUUGGAAAAUAUUGCAACUAUUCCUUGUGUUGUUUUUCUUUCUUCAAGUGAUAAAGUUUGUUUAACGUACGCCCACUUCUUUCUUUUCUGGCUAGUAGAAAAAAUUGUCUUGGACUGAAUGAGGGGAUUAGUUGAAUAAUCUCGUUGUUACUAGAACCUUACCUCUUAUAACUAUUUUUUUGGCUAAGAAUCUUAUAGUAUCUCAUCAAACUAAAGUUAAAAGUUGUUUUUAUGCAUGAACAAUAUGUUGUGAGAAGAAGAUCCUUUAGCAUUAUGUACUCUUUCGAGCAUAAUGAGAAGCAGUAUGUUUUGAAUGACAAAAGGUAACCAACAUACCAGUUCUAUACUUGUAAUCAUUCUAUAUUUUUGAUGAAGUUCCUUAAUGAAGGGUUUCGACACAAAAACGCAGAGCGAAAAAUAAAAAUUUAUAAAGCAAUUUCGAAACCCUAAACAGGAUCCAUGCGAAAAAAAUCAAUUAAUUCAGAGGUUAGAAAUUAUACUGACUAUAAAACUAGAAUCAAUGCGGUCGAAUCUCCAAUGUAAUUCAAACGAACUGCAUCUCUACGGUAUCCACAUGAACUCUCCACUAAUCGUCGUACGAUCUGCAGAAGAAGGAACCGCGGUACUAGCCACCAAGGAUGAGGAUUUUUAGAAACUGAUUUCUCUAGUCUCUCUCUAAGAGCGGCUAGGGUUUUGUUUUUGAUAUAAUACCUAAAAUGACUGAUAUAUAUCAUAUAUAUAGCAGUUACAAGGAAUUAAUCAAAACCUAAUAUAAUUAUAUAAAAUCCAAAUUUUUAUAUAUAUAUAUAUAUAUAUAUAUAUAUAUAUAUCUUAAUUAAGUCUUACUUAAUUAAUAUACAUAUAUACAAAUUAUCCUUUUUAAUUUAAAUUUGUGAUUUAAAAUACUAUCAAUCAUAUUGAUAUAUUUAAAACCUUACAAUUUAAAUUAAUUCUCUUUUAAAUUACGUUCUAUGUGUGUGACCCUAUAGGUUAUUAUUACGUUGGCAAUAAUUUUAAAAUCAUAUUAUAAAAUUAUAAACAGUGAGCGGCAUCUAGUAAUGCAUCACUGCUACCCAAGUAAUAAUAAGAUCGAUGAUUCGAUGCAACCUUUUAGUGACCAAUGUUUCAAUGUAAUUUAAUCAUUUUAACCUUAAUAUCCUAGAUUAAACUCGAGUCAUGGAAUGUGUCAUACUCUUCAUAAUUUAAUCUGAGUUUUUCUUGAUCAAUGAGUAGACUAUAUGAAACAAAUCACUAUUUGAGCAUGGUCAUGCAUUUCAUAGUCCUACCCAAUCAAGAGGCCUAUGGAUAUCACCCCUAAUAUAUAUGAAGGUUAAAUUCCAUCUAGAUCACUCAUAUUCCUCACACGAUUUAUGAUGUACCCAAUAAUCAUCUUUAUAGUUCACCCUAUUAAAGGUGACAUUUGAUGAUAUCAAAGUACAUAAAUUCCCGUGUAGUAAUAUAGUGAUUUCAGGUCGAAGGACCAUUACAUCAUUGUCACUAUGAGAAUCGCUAAUGACACUAUGCAUAAUGUUCCACGUAGAAUUCUCCUGGUGGGUCUGUCCAGUACAUCGUUCUCUAACAUGUACCUAUGCAUUGACUUAAUAUCUCAUAUAUUUAUGACCAUUGAGAUUUGGUCAUCAGUCAAUCCACAUACUAGUCUCAAUGUAUCAUUCUUGUCCCAUCAACAAUGAUACUCGACUAGGGACAUUUAAAAACAAUGAUACUAAUUGUAAUUAUAUAAUCUCAUGUUUAAGUCACAUACUUGAAACUAUAUAAUUUGUAUCACUAUUCUAAGGAGUUUUAUUAUGUUAACAUUUAUAUAAUGCAGUAAAUAAAAUCAUAAUAAAAUCAUUCAUUUAUUCAAUCAAAUAUAAUAUCAAAAUGUUAAGCAAUUAUAUCAAAUAAUUGGCCUCUAGGGCAUAAACUAUAACACUUAAUUCUUGCUAAAAGCUAUAAUGUGCCAGCGGGAACUCAUCUAAUCGAAGUGGCUGCGAUUGGUUAUUUCUUUUCUCCAGUGAGACUAUUUAUACUUGCAUAUUUUCUGUUGAUACAAUUUAUAGUUGACUAUAAAUCAACCUUUUCAAAUUUUUGCACCACUUUCUUAUGUGCGGGUAAAUAUAACAAGAUAAUUGUUAUUCCUAUCGAGAUUUUACAUCUCCUGAUGAAAUUUCAUUUGCAUUAACUGCAUACCAGCUCUUGUAGUAGAAAAUAUCGUCAUCACAAUUAUCUUGUUAUAACCUUUUUUGUCCUUGAAAAUAAUUUGAUAGUUGAAUUAGAAAAUGCACAAGUUACUUUGGAUGCUAGUCAAACUGGAAAAUGAGGGAUUCGUUACAUGACUCUAAAUCAAGUUCAAGCAGAUACAUGUUUGUAUUUAAUGACAAUUCAUUAAAUUGCUAACUUUUCUAUUUUGUCCAGUAUAAUGUUCUUAAUCUCUCCUGUUUUUCUUUGUAAGCGCAAGCAGAAUGCAAGGAAUAUUUUAUGGAUAGUUUAAUUAGGUAGUAGUUUAAUUUUAUGGAUAGUUUGGUAUAUUUUAUGGAUGUAGUCAAAUUCAUAAUUCAAUAUAGUAGUAAUUAUAUUGAAAAGUGAAUUUGAGAUGUAUGGAUAGUUUGGUAUUAUUGGGAUGUAAACGUAUUGUAUGGUAUUAAUAUUCUUUGUAAUUGGUAUAUUUUUAAUUUGAGAUGUAUGGAUAGUAAUAUUAUUUGUAAUUGGUAUAUUUUGAAUGUUUGAUACAUUUUGGCUUUAAAUAGAUGACACCUUCUAAACGUUGUAUAAAUGUGUUUAAACGUUGUCUGUUGUUGCUUGCUAAGGUAGAGAUCCAAAAACAGUUGUUAUAUGCAUGUAUUAUAACAUUUUUAAGUCAAACUACAACGUUUUAAAAACGUCGUAUAAAGGGUGUCAAAUAGAUGACACCUUCUAAACGUUGUAUAAAUGUGUCUAAACGUUGUCUGAUGUAUCAAAUUAAUUACAACAUUUUAAGCCAGAAAACGUUGUGGAAUCAUACCAUCUACAACGUUUUCAAGCAUCCAAUGAUUUAUGGAAAAUAAAUAUACAACGUUUUAAAGAAAAAAAUGUUGUAAAUGUGACAAACCACAACGUUUUAAAAACGUUGUAUAAAGUGUGUCAAAUAGAUGACACCCUUAACCACGACGUUUAUGGGAUACAAACCACAACAUUUUGUACGCGUUAUCUAUUUAUUGUUUUGUAGUAGUGCACCCAUGUGUUGAACCUUGCAUGCACCUGUUCAACAUACUUCUCUUGUGACAGCCACAACCUCUUAACUUUCUUGUCACAAACAAUUUUCAUACCCAAAAUCUGCUUAGCCGAGCCUAAGUCCUUCAUAUCAGAGGACUUAAACAAAUCACACUUAUGCGAAUCAUGUUAGCAUCUUACCCAACUAUCAACAUAUAAUCUACAUAUAGCAACAAAAUAACGAAGUUACAAUCCGGGAACUUUUUAACAUACACACAAUGAUCUACAAGUUUUCUACUCUAACAUUAGUCAAUCAUGAAUAAAUCAAAUUCCAUGUACCACACUACCUUAGGGCUCUUGUUUUAGGCCGUACAAACUUUUCUUCAACCUGCAAACCAAGUGAUCUUUCCCUUUAGCUUCAAAUCCUUCUGGUUACUCCAUAUAGAUUUCCUCCCUUUAAAUCACCAUGAAGGAAUGUAGUUUUCACAUCUAGCUGCUCAAGCUCAAUAUUCGUACUAGCUACUAACCCCAACACCGCUCGAAUAGAAGUCAUAUUUACAACCAGAGAAAAAAUCUCAUUAAAGUCAAUACCUUGCUUCGGAGAAAAACCCUUGACGACCAAUCGAGCCUUGUACUUCACUAGUAUUUCAGCAUCCCUUUUCAACUUGAACACCCAUUUAUUCUUCAAUGCUUUCUUGCCUUUCGGAAAUGUAGUCAACUCAUAAAUGUGAUUCUUAUGUAAAGAAUACAUCUCAUCCCGCAUACGUCUCAACCAAUUGCUCUUGUCCUUAUGAGUUUUGACUUCUUGAAAAUUCUCUGGCUCCCACUCCUCAACAACUAAAAGAUAUUCAAAUGAAGGAUAUCUGACUGAUUGCACACGUUCUCUCAUGGAUCUUCUUAACUGAGGUUUUUCAAUAUCAAGAUGAGGUAGCUGAUCCCCCUGCUCAACACUCUCUGCAUCUGACCCAUCACCAUCGUGCAAAUCUAUAUCCGUCACAUCUUCAUUUUGACCUCCUUUUCCAACUGUGGCAUUCUGUAAUGGAAAACGAACUCCGCUGAGUUCUAGAACUCUAUUAUCUAUGGGCUAUGUAACAUUAUCAAAAUCUUUAUAAUUCAGGUGGUCAUGAAACACUACAUGUCUACUUCUGAAUUUUUUUUUUAAACUGUAUCCCAUAACAUGUACCCAAACUCUAUAUAUAUUUCCAAGCCAAUAAACACACAUGGAGUAAAUUUGUCAUCCAGCUUUGAUCUUUGUUUCUUAGGGAUAUGUGUAAAAGCCUUGCACCUAAAUACCCUAAAAUAAGAAUAACACACAUCCUUACCACUCCAUAUCUUUCUAAAAUAUGAAAAUCCAACGGUGCUGAUGGAGAUCUGUUAAUCAGGUAACAAGCGGUACGAACAACUUCACUCCAGAAUGACUUAGGCAGCUCAGCCAUUCUCAACAAGCAUCGGACUCGCUGAAUAACAGUGUUGUUCAUUCUUUCAGCCACACCAUUAUGUUUUGAGGUGCUAGGAAUUGUCUGAUCAUGUCGAAUACCGUGUUUAUCUCAAUAUGCCACAAAAUCCUUUGAUGUGUAUUCCCAUCCGUUGUCGCUGCGAAGGCACUUCAAUAAUUUUUCAGUCUCCCUUUCAACAAUAUCAUGGAAACUCUGAAAAUGUUGGAAUACCUGCUCUUUUAUUUUCAACAAAGACACCCACACCUUCAUGAAACAUCAUCAAUAAAAGUAAAAAAAUAUCUAUUGGCACCCAAUGACUCAACCUCAAUGGGACCAUAUACAUCAGAAUAUACUCUCUCAAGUAACUUAGAUUUCUUUUAGAGGAGCUACUAAAAGAAACUCUAUUUUGCUUACCAAACAAAUAAUAAACACAAGGGUUUAGUACAAUACCUUUAGCAAAAUGAAUGAAAGAUAUUAUGUCUAAUAUUUGCAACCCUUUCUCACUUAUGUGCCCAAACCUUUAUAAUUUUAUGACACAGAUUCGAUGAAAAUUCAUCUUCAAUUGCAUUCAACUUGCUAGAACACACAUUCACAUUAGUUUUGUAUAAUGAACAAUAAGUAGUACCUUUAGCAACUACCAUCGAACCUAUCACGCCCCGAAAUCCACCAGCUUGCUUGGUCGGACUUCGUGCUGACUUGAACAAUCUUAUUCAUAAAUAUUUUAUAAUAUAUAAUUUUUAUCUCUCCAAGGUUCACAGUAUCCCAUAACAGAUAGUAGUUCUUGUUAGAAUAAUUUUUGUGUUUACAUACCCUCAUUUGGAUGAAUAGAUUUAUAUCUCAUGGAUAUUUCUUUCAUAUUCAUAGUUUCUAUCUAUUUGAUAUUCACAAUAUUAAUGAUAAGAUUGUUCUUGGAACCGAGGGGCGACCACAGUGCUUACAGAACUCUCAAAAUCAUUUAAUACCCUCAUUCAGAUGUAUAGUUCAUAUGGAUACUGUACUAAAUCAGUACUAAUUCUUAAUUAUCUAAAAAUGUGAGUACAACGCAAUUGAUGUUACAAAAGAUAGUAAUAUAUUUCACAACUUUAAGUACAGUUACAUAGAUUCCAAGAUCGUAUUGUUAUUACAUCAGAGUCUAAAAAGACUUAAACGAAUACAGGCAAAAGUAUUUAAAGCUAAUCUAACGGGGUCUCUAUCCAUUGAGUUAUGUAUUAGAACAUCCAUGAUUCUCAUCCAACGUUGCAAAGGAAAAUAAUAUUUGCAAGGAUGAGCUACAAAAGGCUCAACAAAUUUUAAACAAGAUAUACUCACACUGUGUUUGAAUUGAAUGAACAUUUAGUUCAAAGAUUUUACAUGUAUAUACUGAAGUUUGUCUGUCAAACCCCCACAUUAUUUCGGUUUCUAUCAAUCAUAAAGACAUAGAAACCAAAGGUUGAUCUGUUCAACCGGACUUGGUAAUCAUUCCCAAAGUUCGUAUAUAUAGACGUAAGAGUCAUUAGUUCAAAUAUUUAAUAGGGGAUCAACCUAUUUAUAUCAUAGGAGUAUGCAUAUCAUCCUACCACAAGUGUCCCAGACACACAAAGGUCAGUUUAGUACUGCCCAUAAACCACGGUCAGUAUAUAUCUGCCUGGUAAUCACUCUUUUACAAAGAGGCAAAUAGUUCAAUAUAUAUAUAUCUCGUACCAAACAUUAUUGGUUUCUACUCAGUUUAUGCUUUGAUAUCAAACCAAAGUUUCACACAAAUAAUAGUUCAUUUUCUUAAGUUAUGCUUAAACAAAAAGCAAUAACUUCCCAACAAUAGAUAUCAUGAACAAAAUAUUUAAACAAGUUCAUAUAAUAGAUGUAUAAAGAAUAGAAGACUUGCUCAAUUACAAAAACACUAUCAAUUUUCACAAAUAAAGAAUUAUAAUAAUUCAAUAUUUCAAUAAUAAACACUCUAACUGGAAUAGCUCACAAAUCGAGUUAAGCAGAAUCAAAUGACAAUUAACUCAUUUUCACAAUUCAAUGAACUUCAUAUAACAAAAGAAAUUCCAAAAUUUAUAAACGUGUUGCACAUAGUGCGAAAAACUUGCAUAACAGAAUAUCAUGUAAGUUUAGAAAACUUGCAUAGAAAUAGCUAUAAAGUUUGCACAUAUUGUGGAAAACUUGUAUAACAGAAUAUCAUGUAAGUUUAGAAAACUUGCAUAAAAAUAGAAAGUUUGCACAUAAUGCGGGAAAACUUGCAUAAUAGAAUAUCAUGUAAGUUCAGAAAACUUGCAUAACAAUAGAAAGUUUGUACAUAGUACAGAAAACUUUCAUAACAAUAGAAAGUUUGCACAGUGCGAAAAACUUGCCUGAUUCGCCUCUACAGUUUACGCUAAGUUUAUGUGUCUCGAUCAAUCUAUACAAUUAUAUGUUCAUGUAGAAUAAUUAAGCAUUUAGAGAUUAAACCUUUUAAGUUUUAUUUUGGGUAUUAUAACCGAUUAUAAUUAAGACUCCUUGUACUAUACAUGGAAUAAUUUUAGCAUUAUAAUUGCUUAUAGAAUGAAUAUUCAUCAACUAUAUUUAAAAUAAAUUGAGCAUUAUAAUUGCUUGUAAAAUGAAUAUUCGGAUAUUAUAUUUGAGAUAAUUUAAGCAUUAUAACUUCUUAUAAAAUGAAUAUUCUUAUUAAAUAAUUGAAGAAAAUCGGACAUAAUAACUCCUUAUAAAAAUAUAUUUUCUACUUUAUAAGAGAAAUAAAUUGGAUAUUAUAACUGCUUGUAAAUAAAACUUUUGUACUAUAUAAGUAAAAUAAUUUGGGCAUUGUAACUGCUUGUAAAAGUAUUUUUUUAUUAAAUAUAUAAAGAAGAAUGAAAAUAAUAGCCACUAAAGUAAUACAUCUUGUAGUUGCUAGUUUUACUUCCAAUCGCGUAGCGCUUCGAUGUUUCGAAAGUAAUUUUUAUUUCUCACAAUAUAUAUCUCUAAGAAUAUAAAUAUAGUGUUUUUUGCUCUUGAAAAUGGUAGAAAAAAUGAAAAACUUAGCUUGCUAUUUAUAGAAAAACAUAGUUUCACUAAUUGCAUGUUAGGGGCUCGACUUAUUACAGUUUACACCCAGCUUACUACACUUUGGUACCUAGGUUAAUUACACUUUAGUACCUAAUUAAUUGCACAUUAGUCCCUCAAAAUAUCUAAAAGUCAUCAUUACUUCUUUAAAAUAUCUUCCACCAAACGAAAUCUUCAUGACAUCAUCAUGAUGACAUCAUCUAUGUGUUUCUUUGAGGAUAAUUUCAUGCUUGACUCAUCUCUUCUCUGAUUGGUCGAUUCAAGUUCAUAUGGAUUCACUACAGAAAAAAUCUCUAUCUGCGACCAAACCUUUCAGCGACCGCCCUUUCUGGUCGCUGAUAUCAGUAAUAGCGACUGCCAUCUGCGACCGGUAUUGCUUCUAGUCGCUAGUUUAUAUCAGCGACCGCAUGCGGUCGCUGGCAUGAAAUUCCUUCCCAAUAAUUGGUGCGAAACAUUGGCGCGUUUUUUUUGUGCGACCAAUCUCUAUCAGCGGUAGGCGGUCACUGAUACGGCCACAUCAUUAAAAAUUAACGACCGCAUGCAGUCGCUGAUCUUCUUAAAUUUAAUCAGACUUAGGCAUUCGCUCGUUCAGCAGAUGAAAAGAAAAAGAGGGAGAACAGAAGAGGGAGAAGAGGGAGAAGAGGGAGAAGGGGGAGAAGAGAAGAGGGAGGGAGAAAUUGAUCACCAUCGCCGCCGCCCGUCUCGACAACUCAGGUAUUAUCAAAACCUAUGUGAUUUUCAUGUUGUGGUUUUUGUGCAAUUAAAAGUUAAGUAGUAUUGUAUUUAUAUUUGUAUAAUUAAAAGUUUAUGUUGGAGUUAAAUAAUAGAACUCAGUGUUGAUACAUUUUAACCAAGCAGGAGCUGUCAUUCCUAGGGAGAGCUAAAAACUCUGUUCCGUUCACUCCAUUUAUUUUCGUCUGAACUUGCCAAGCAUAAGUGUUCUUCAGCCCAUUGAGCCAUUAUUAUAAGGUAAGUUCUAAUUUUGAUUUUAGUAUCAACAAUUGAAAGAUUUAUAUUAAAUUGUUAUGAUUGAGCUGUGAUAAGUGAGUUGUGAAUUAGAAGGAGCUUAGUUGUUGUUGUGCGAAGUAAAAAGGAAGGUGAAUAUGGUUUAAAGCAUGUAUAAAUGUUAGUGAAACAUGUCCAUAUGAAUAAUGCCCAUAUCAUGUUUGAUAAAUUGCUCCUUAGAGAGUUUUAAGCUCAAAAAGAGCAAUUUAGGUGAGGUAAUGAACAAGAACUCUUUAUAUAGCUUGUUUUAUAAAGUAAUUCAAGUGAAUUGGGUAAGAUUAAUUGAGUCUAAAAACUAUUUUUAAGCAAAUUGGGUAAUGAACAAGAACUCUUUAUACUUGUUUUAUGAAGUAAUUCAAGUGAAUUGGGUAAGAUUAAUUGAGUCUAAAAAUUGUUUUGAAGUAAAUUGGGUAAGAUUAAUUGAGCCUAAAAACUGCUUUAAAGCAAAUUGGGUAAUAUUAAUUGAGUCCAAAAACUGUUUCGAAACAAAUUGAACUCUUUAAGUGUACAUUAUAUGUGGCGAUUCUGCCAUAAUAGAAUUCAUGGGCAAUCAUGGUUUACCUUAUAUGCUACCCAUACUUCAAUCUUUGUUUGAAAUUGCUUACAACAUAUUGUUAGACUGCAUGUAUUCUACUUAGUAGGCCAAAUAAGUUUAAGUGUCCACACAUUUUUGGUAUGGAGUGGUGUAACCUUCUUCUAGUUACACUUAGACAAAGAAUAGAAAGAAUGAAAAAAAUUAAGGAGACAUUUAAGAUGGAAUGUGUGAGAGAGAAAUAUAGACAAUUGUGUGGGUAAGAGAGUAUUAGGAAAUAGUUUCAAGUCCUUGGACUAUUUUUUGUCAUUUCUAAGGCUAUUUAUGAGGGAUUAUAUAAUCUCAUUAGUCCUCCAUAAUUUAAGCUAUCAAAUGACUUUAUAGGACUAAUAGUCCCACAUUAAGGGACUAUUAGUAUGCCUUCUUCUGCAAUCUUGAUAUACGCAGCGUUAUAGUUUCUAGAACGCAUUGCAAAGUUUAUUGGCUGUUCUUCAAACUUUACCAUCAAGAUAUUUUCAUCACCUAAUGUCCUAUGUAGAAGAGUUUUUGUUGUGUUUAGAUAUGGACCCUGGAAUAUAUAAAGGCAAUAAGUAUAACAAUUGGUGACAUUGAGGUUUUAAAAGAGAGUAAAAAAAUUUGAUGGUAAUGUUAUAUGCCAGUAGCAACAAGAAUUUAAAACUAAGAAUUUGAUAUCCAGGAUAUUAUAGCAUUAACAAAGUACACAUGAACAUGUUUCAGUAUAUGUUGCAGGUUUUAAAAAUUCAAAAAAUGAUAAAUACUCUCAUAAGUAGAAAACCAAGAACAUAUACAAUAAUCUACUAUGAAAGUACAACUAGAGGCAAUAUGAGCCAUAAGUAUGACUUAGCUUAGAAUAGAAAGAAAAUGAAAAGUACAAAAAGAAUAAUAUAUAUAUAUAUAAUCUAGUUGGCCACUUAUAUAAGUAAAAUUAUAAAAUUUCCCUACAUACCUAUCAAACAAACUCUAAAUUAUAAAAUUUUUAUAUAGCUAUGUCAAAACCCACAAACACAAACACAAGCACCAUAAUUUCAAUCACACAAAAUUAAUGUUCAUAUAAAUAAUGAUAUGUUUCCAAAAUGUCCAGCAUUAUCUAAAUCUUCAUAUAUAAGUCAAAUGACCAUAUAUGCAUUCGUAUUCACUGUUGUGUUAUACUUCCUUGGUGUUUAAUAUAUGUGAUGUUAUGUUAAUUGAUUAUACAUUCUUGUUGCUCUUAUAUGCCUACAAAUGGCCAUAUAUGCAUGCCCUCGUGCAUGUGGAUAAUCCAUAUUAUAGGGGAGACUUUAUUGAAAUUUUUUUGUUGGUCGGGUAACUGAACAAAGGUGUAUAUUUAUAUUAUACCUACAUAUAUGCAAAAAAAUAAUAAUUUAGACUUGUCCUAAUGCAUAUGCAGACCAUGUAUUAUGCAAUGAUUCAUAUUCUACCCCUAGGAAUCUAUUGUUUUUAGGUUGGUGUCAGUUAAAAUAUGUAGGAUGACAUAAGACCAUACCUCAUUCUCAUUUAAGAUCCACAACAAUAUACAAUGCCUUUGGGUAUUCGAUCUCAAGCUGUGUAAAUUUGUUUUGGCAUGUAUCCUUGUUUAAUUCCUGAAUAAUCAUAUAUAUGAUGCACACUCAUGUUAUAUAUGUACAUAUACAUCUAUAUGUAUUUAUAAGCAUCAUAAAUGGCAUUGAGCUGAAUUGUAAAUCUCUAACAAGGGAAUACAAUAAUUUAUGUCAACAUAGGUACCAUGGUAUCAUGGACCUCUAUUCAGACCGUAGUUGAAUGAGACGACAAAAGUCAAGUGCACAGAUAAGUGCUACAUCAGAAUUUAGAGCUGGUUGCCAAGUAUUUGUAGAUUAUGCGUAUAAUCACCCGGAAUGUGUUAAUGGUCAAAACAAGAUAAGAUGUCCUUGUUUUUGGGUUCAUGAACAAUUACGAAGAAUGUUGGUGGGCACAUGGCAGAGAAGAGAUAGUAGCAUUGCACAAGUACACAAUCUAGGCAGCAAUACCCAUCGUAUGAAUGACACGGUUCAUGAUAUUGCAUGGAUGGAUUUUGAUUGGGAACAAGGCAGAGAGCAACCUAUGAAUUUUGAUGCCAAAGCAUUCUUUAAGUUGUUAGGCGAGGGUAGUGAACCGUUGUGGCAUGGUUGCACGAAGCACACUACAUUUUCUGUAGUGGCGAUAUUACUUAACAUCAAGGCUGAUCACAACAUAAGCCAUGAGUGUUUUGAGUCACUCUUGAGGGCCAUUAAGAGUAUGUUGCCUGUCGGUGAAAAAUUAUCCGAUAACUACUACUAUUAUAAAAAAAUGGUGAAGAAGUUGGGUCUUGGAUAUCAAAAGAUCGACGCAUGUCCGAACGAUUGCAUGUUGUUUUAUAAGGAAAAUGAACAGAAGACAACGAUUUUACUUAUACAAUUACUUGUCAUUAUUGUCAUUUUACUUAUACAAAAUGAUUCUGACUUAGACAACGAUUUUCAUUAAAAUGUAUGUUUAGUUUUAAUUGUAUUACAUACAAUUACAUAUAUAUGUUCUCUAUAUCCUUGACAUGUUUAUGUACCUUUCAUUUAUAGUUUCCGUAGUUAACUAUUUCUUACAAUUACUUAUCAUUAUUGUCAUUUUAAUUAUAUAUUUAAAUCAUAUAACUCAUACUAACAUCCUAAAUUUUUUAUUUAUAGAUGUCUUCUGAACCAGCACAACGAAAGCGCGGGUUGGGUCGGGGGCCUAAUCAUGAGCCGAAGGCCCCGGCUAAUCCGAAUGAUCGCAUUCUUAUACAGAUUUGUCCUCCUCUAGAAAGCACGUAAGUUAAACAUCGUGUAUAUAUAACCAUUUUAUAUUUCCAUUGUUAUAGAUAUAUACUAAUAUAAAUUAUUUUUUAUAUUAUAAUAAAAUUACUUAUCUUUAAUGUAAAUUAUUGUAUAUUGUAGUGAUUUUCAAGAUAGUAAAAUUGUGAAGUGAAUUUCACAAUUAUGCUUACAGAACUGGCCUACGCCAGUGAUUACGUGGGCGAGCACACCUCUCACCCAUAAGGAUGCAGUUUGGGCUGAAUUUCAGGUAUAUUUUUUUAUCACUCUGAUAGAUAAUAUAUAGUUAAUCAAAUAAUAUUGUUUAAUAAUGUUGGAUUACGGUAAUAUCACAGUUUUAAUAUUAUUAUUGUUGUUUUAUUUGUAGAAAAGGUAUAGAUGGGAUGACGCGCAAGCAUCAGUUAUUCAAACAUUAUUUUGGUAGAAGUGCGCCAUCCGAACUAAAGAUAAUCUGAACAAGGAACAACAUAAAGCCCUGCAUAAUGCCGAGAUUGACUAUCUAGGACAGGGUGAGCAGUAUAUGCAUGAGUAUUGCCCCUGGUGGUGUGCACAGCCUAUAUGGUGCAGAUGUGUGACCAGUGGAGAGCUGAGAGAUGGGUUAAGAGACGCAAGACUGCCGCCUCAAACAGAUCCUCAGGUGUAUCUGAAGGCGAAAAGGCAAAAGGCAUGUAUCGGGGCGACAAUAUAUCACAGCUGUAGCAUAUUGUUGUAAGGGUACGUAUGUAUAGCAAUCUUAUUGACUUAGUUAUUUGUUUUUGUGUUUAUAGUCAUGUUUUGUAGCUAAAAUAUCAUAUGUUUACAUAUUAAUAUGAGAACAUGAACUGUAGGAGUCUCAGUCUCAAGGUCAACCUAUCAAUUGGUUGGAUGUGUAUGUGGCCACCCUCGAUGGUCUGCCUGAGGCUGUUAAGAUAGCAGUAAUAAGUUAACUUUAUACUACUAUGUUAUUUAUAAAUUGUGACGACCUUUUUUAGCAUUUAUUUUUUUAUUUUUAACUAUUUAAUUGUUAACCUUAUGACAGGACACUUAUAAGAGCUUAAUGAACGAGCGCUAUCCUGAAGUCACCCCGCGUCUGCCGAUUGAUUAAGAAUUGUGGGAGAGGGCGUCAGUCGUGAAGAAAAACUACGUUAAAGGCCAAGGAUAAAAAUAACGCCCGACCAUCAGUGGCACAUGCAACUAUGCUACCCAGUCUACACAGUCAUCAGGUCAUCCAGCUUAUCAUACUCCUGCUAACUGUGUGAGAGCGAUCUGUCGAGAUCGUGAUCUUCUUUAUAUACUAGGCGGGCAUAUGCAGUCUCUGAGUCCUAAUGACUUAGCGGAUGCAGUGGCGGCAGCAGCACGACAUCAAGAUGGCGAUGAGGUAUACAUAGAUAUUGUUACUGUAACUGUCUUACUUAUGUUUCACUAUAUUAUCUAUUGUUUAGCUUUCCCUAAGUCAUAGUAGUAUCAACACAUGUAACAUGUUUUAUUCUUUUGUAAAUUACAGGGUCCUACUAAUUUGGAUGAUGCAUGAAGAGCUAGACUUAUUUUUUAGAUAUUUAAAGCCUUGUAAUUUUAUAUUAAUUCUUUGGACCAUUGUAUUUGUUGAAUAUUGUGUUGGUUUACGAUUCAUGUUUGUAUAUACUAUUGUGGAUGUGUUGGGAUAUAUAUAAAUUAUGGAUGGAUAUUUAUAUGGAUGCUUAUAUAUACUGAUGUGUGUUGGGAUAGAAAGCAGGUACAAAGCAGUGUAUUUUUUUGGGAAAUCCAUAAAACAAGAAAAAAAAUAAAAAAAAUAGCAACAUCAGCGACCGCAUGCAGUCGCUAAUAUAGAGAGCGGUCGCUAAUGGCCUUUGGGAACUUAGCGACUGAUGUGGUUGCUAUUGCUGGUCGCUGACACGUGUGUCAUGUCAUUCCUGACAACUGACUCAGCAUGACUCAGAUUAGCGACAUAUUCGGUCGCUAAUAAUGGUCGCUGAUGUCCAACCAGCGACCAGAUUAUCUACGACGAAUAUCAGCGACCGUAGUCUGUCGCUAAUGCUCAUCUGUGAUCGUAUGCGGUCGCAGAUAUGCGGUCGUUGAUAAGCCUUUUUGUUGUAGUGAUUGGUAUUAUUUAGAUAGAUUAACUAGGUUUUCUUUUCCUAGUUUGGUUAUACUAACUUAGUUACACAUAACAUAGUUUGAUUCCAACUAAUUAGUUAACUUCUUAGUUUCUUUUCGUCUUUUUCCUAUUUCAUCUUAUUCCCGUGAUUAGUGUUUUUACGCAAAUUUUCUGAGAAUAUUUUAUUUUCGUCUUCGAAAUUCUUUCUCGUUUAUUCUUACGUAACCAAAAUCCCAACGUUUAAUAAUCAUCCUAGGUCAUAAUUAGAAUUUUAAUCACUUAUGAUUCAUUACACUUAGUUUAGAUUAUAAUCUUAAUCUCUAAUCAUAUAAGAUCGUAUUUAUAAGCCACGUAAAUAUCCGAAAUAUUACAGAACCCUUGGUAAAUUUCCACUUUCCGCUACUGAAGAAAUUCUCAUAGCCUUCCCUAUCCAAGGUCAUACGAGAAAUUAAGUUGAGAGACAAAUAUGGGAUAUAUAUGUAUAACAUUCCUCAAAGUAAUAGUGCAGCCUACAUCUGUUUGUAUGCAAACAUCACGAAUUCUAACAAUCUUGAACUGAUCAGUGUUACCCAUCCUAACAAACUAAAAGUCUCCAGUUUUGUAUGUCGUGAAGAAUUCUCUCUUGGGAGUAGCAUGAUACGAAGCACCUAUAUCAAUAACUCAAUUAAUUUUCUGAUCAACAAUAUGUAAGCAUUUUUUUUCCUUGAAUGAAAGAAUAACAUCAUCAGUAAUUGUAACUGUAGUAUUUUUCUCCUCAAACCUACCCUUGCUUAACAAUUUUCUGCUUAUCUAACCAGAUCUUACAAUUCCUUUUAAAUUGACCCUCCUUGCAAUGGAAACACAUGUAUGUAGCGCCUUCUCUGGUCUUUGACUUACUUAUAUUAUUUUGAAAUUUUUUACUUUUACCCCUGUUCUUUGCCACAAGUGCUUCUAUCUCAAAAUUCAAACACUGCUCUUUUUGCCUUAUUUCCUCAUUGUGUAUGCUAUCCUUGACCAUCUGUUUGGUGAUUUUUCUUUCUUGAGCUGAAUUGCUUAGUGAGACAACCAAAGUUUCCCAACUGUUAAGCAAAGAAUUGAGAAGAAACAACGCCUGAAUCUCGUCCUCAAGAUUCAAUUUGAUGGUAGACAACUAGUUUACCAAACCUUGGAACUCACACAUAUGUUCGGAUACACUGCUACCAUCUUUGUACUUCAAGUUCACGAUCUUUCUAAUCACAAAGGUCUUAUUAUGUACAUUCUUCUUCUCGUACAUGGACUCUAAUAUAGUCCAAAGUGUAUAAACAUCCGUUUCGUGCGAAACAUGAUGGAACUCACUCUGAUUAAUCUAUCGUCGGAUGUGACCGAUCUUCUUUCUUUUCAUCUUUUUCCAAUCAUCCUCAAACUUGUUCGCGGACUUUUUCCCUUUAAGCUCCAAUGGGUCAUACAAAUCCUUACAAUGAAGAAUGUCUUUCAUUCUAGGCUUAUAAAUUGAAAAAUUAGAUGAAGUCAAUUUAAUCAUGACACCUUGAUUCCUCCAUUUAAUUUAUCAAAAAAACAACUGCACAUAAAACAUUGCUCUUGAUACCACUUUGUUGAAAAAAUGCAAUUAUAAUUGUCUUUAAUAAAUUAAAUAACAAACCACGCCAAACAAAUAAUUUAAUUCCACCAAAUAAAUUAUAACCGCAAAAAUAAUAGUACGAAAAAUAAACCAGAUACAAGAUAUCAAAUUUUACGUGAAAAAUUCUUUGAAACCAAAAGAUAAAAACCACGGGUCCAACUCCAAAAAAAAUUCACUAUAAUCUAUUGCGAGUGCAAAUAGUCUUUCUUCCAAAUUUUAUAACUAAAAACUUGAAAUAUUAUAAAAUUAAGAAAAUACAAAACUGAUAAUCAUUUCACGCAAAUUAUAGAACCCUCAAUUUCUCUCUCCAAUUAUCCGUGAAAUAACCAAAACUAAUGAUAUGUUACCUCACAAACUGAUUAUAUAAAACUCACUUUUGGAUUCCUUACGCUUUCUUAUUCAGUGGGUUCACGCCUAAAGUUGUAAAAUGAGCAAAUAGUUCGGACUCGAUUCAUAUUCACUCGGCUAAAAGUUCGAUUCGAUCUCGACUUGAAAUAUAAAUGAGUCAAAUAUGAGCAUAUUUUAAAAGUCGAUGAAUUACCCGAACCUUCUCAAAUUGUAAUAUUCUAUUGAUACUCGGAUCAUAUUUGUUUGAAAAAUUCAAACUGCUCGGACUAGAUUCGGAAUCGUGCUCGACUCGGUAGCUAAAUGAGCCUCAAUCAAACUUUAUUUUAUACUCAAUAAAUUUUGUGAACCAAAUCUGAGUAACUCAAUACUCGGAUCGAUUCAGUUCGUUUACACCCUUAUUCACGCCACAUAUACCAUAUAUAUAUACACUCCAAAUCCAGAUAUGCUAUAAAAUAAUGUUACUAUCACAUAAAAAAAAUCACAUAAUGCUCACAAACAUAUACAUCCAUAUUGCGGGCCUUACAUGUCAGGCGGGAACCCACAGUAUGCCAAAAUAAAAAAAAACAACUUAUUGACUUCCUGCCUAAAAUAGAAUUAAGUCCACACGGUUUUUAUUCCAAUCACCAAUUCCGUGUUAUACUCCCUGAUUCUUUGCCAAUUAGAUUUUUGCCCAUAAACCUCAUGGGUUUGGACCAAUAUGCCCAGCAUAAUGCAGAUACAGUCGAUCUUGUUUUGUGUAAUGUAUACCCAAUUGGAGUUAUGGGGCCAUACAUACUGCUUAGCCACGACCCAUGUUAUUUUAAGCCCAAAAAAAACUCAUGGUAAAGCUUAAUACGGGGCAUCCAAAAGUUUUCUGAAUUUUGAAAUUAUUUGGUUAUUUCAUAAUUUGUCACGACAUGUGUACAGGUCAAGGUCAAAUUUUGUGUAUUUUUUUAAAUUUUUUGAAAAUUCAGUGGUUUUAAUAUGAAAAAAUAAUCUAUAUAUUUUUUUCCAUAUCUUGACAAGAGUAAACAUAUAGUAUCUUGGUGAUUAAGUCUAAUUACUUAUUAGGAAAAUUAAUAGUAUUAGCGAUCAAUUAAUUAGACAACCCCAAUGAUAUCAUUUAUAGUGAUCUCUCUAUUGAAAUGGAGGUUAAUAUUAAUCAAUGGUGGCUUGUAGGAAAAAUAAAAUGUCAGACAUAAUACGAUAAAAUGAAGAUUCUAAAUUACGGUGACUAUGUCAGACAGACAGCGUACGACAAAAAAGAAGAAGACAAUAAACGAAGAUUCACAAGUAUAAUGAUUAUGUUAGAUAGACUGUAUGACAAACACAUAAAAAAAGAGAGAGAUUAAAUUUGAGAAAUAUGUCAUUAAAAUCUUAUAUAUAUAUAUAUAUAUAUAUAUAUAUAUAUUGAUUAUUUAAUAAAAACUUCAUCUGAAAUUUCUCAAAUAUUAAUUACAUUAGGAAACAUUUAAGUUAAAAUUGUCUAGACAUUAAUUUAUUUUUUAUUUUGUGAAAACUGAUAUAUCUUGGGACAAAAAAAUUGUGACUUUUAUAUCAUAUUCAUUGGUUACCCGAUAAUUAACGAUGUUUUAUUGCAAGAUAUUGGAGAACUAUUUAAUAAUAGUCGAAAGAAUUUGGGAUCUCCUAGUAGUCAUAGUUAGAUUCUUAAAUCAUAAAAAAUUAAUUUCUUAAUUUGUUGUACAUAUUAACAUAUAUGUAUGUGUGUUCACAUGCAUACAUAUUUGUCUAUAUAAAGAUCUACCUUUUUAUUUGUUGAAUCAGUCAAUUUUAAAAUCAUUGAUAACAAGUGAAGAGGACUUGUCAAGUCAUAUGAUGAGUUUUCAGGUCUACUUUAAUGGACAUGGGGUGUUAACUCAAAAUUAUGAAUUAAUUGAAUCAUCAGAUUCAUAACCACUAAACCAUUUUUAGCACCUUGUCCAUUUUCUAUCCUUUUAAAGAGAGACAGAUAUGGUAGAUCGAUAUAUACUUAUGUAUAUAUACGCACAAGAUAUACAGAAAAGAAACAUAAUUACCUGCAUAAAGAUUCUCUCAGCUUCUUCAUGACCAUACUUUCUGAUCACCUCCAAGGCACUUGCCUACAUAUAAUUAACUCAACAAUUAAAAUUAUUAACAUUAAUUAAUCAAAGCAACAAUUAAAAGAGAACACAUAAUUACCCUCAGGGCAUUCAACUCCUCAUGGGAGAGAGUUUUCGGUUCAUUUGCUAGAUCAAGAUAUCCAUUCGACUUGAUUCCGUUCUUCGGAGAGGAGGAUGAAGAUCCCACCAUUGUUUCAGGCAAUGAGAGAGAAAAAAGGAGAGAAAUGAGAGGAAAAAAAGAGGAGAGAAAUGAGAAGAAGAGAAAAAAAG
This 28613-nucleotide long non-coding RNA is filed under the name Panax ginseng (ginseng). RNAcentral describes it as "long non-coding RNA (PGIN_LNC000477)". Lineage: Eukaryota; Viridiplantae; Streptophyta; Magnoliopsida; Apiales; Araliaceae. The record is from RNAcentral.